UACGUAGGGGCCGAGCGUUGUCCGGAGUUAUUGGGCGUAAAGCGCGCGCAGGCGGCUUGGCGCGCCCGACGUGAAAGCCCCCGGCUUAACCGGGGAGAGUCGUCGGGGACGGCCGGGCUUGAGGGCGGGAGAGGGUGGUGGAAUUCCCGGUGUAGUGGUGAAAUGCGUAGAGAUCGGGAGGAACACCUGUGGCGAAGGCGGCCACCUGGGCCGACCCUGACGCUGAGGCGCGAAGGCGUGGGGAGCGAACAGG
RNAcentral lists this ribosomal RNA (253 nucleotides) under uncultured bacterium. Its description in RNAcentral is "partial 16S ribosomal RNA". It matches the Rfam family "Bacterial small subunit ribosomal RNA", at positions 524 to 776 of the family's 1533-position model. The record is from RNAcentral.